AUUGAACGCUGGCGGCAUGCUUUACACAUGCAAGUCGAACGGCAGCGCGGGCUUCGGCCUGGCGGCGAGUGGCGAACGGGUGAGUAAUACAUCGGAACGUGCCCAGUAGUGGGGGAUAGCUCGGCGAAAGCCGGAUUAAUACCGCAUACGACCUGAGGUGAAAGCGGGGGAUCUUCGGACCUCGCGCUAUUGGAGCGGCCGAUGGCAGAUUAGCUAGUUGGUGGGGUAAAGGCCUACCAAGGCGACGAUCUGUAGCUGGUCUGAGAGGACGACCAGCCACACUGGGACUGAGACACGGCCCAGACUCCUACGGGAGGCAGCAGUGGGGAAUUUUGGACAAUGGGCGAAAGCCUGAUCCAGCAAUGCUGCGUGUGUGAUGAAGGCCUUCGGGUUGUAAAGCACUUUUGGCGGGAACGAAGGGACUGUGCCAAUACCACGGUUACGAUGAACG
RNAcentral lists this ribosomal RNA (451 nucleotides) under Lautropia mirabilis. RNAcentral's name for it is "bacterial SSU rRNA". It matches the Rfam family "Bacterial small subunit ribosomal RNA", at positions 29 to 478 of the family's 1533-position model. The record is from RNAcentral. Lineage: Bacteria; Pseudomonadati; Pseudomonadota; Betaproteobacteria; Burkholderiales; Burkholderiaceae.